UACAGGGGGUGCAAACGUUGCUCGGAAUUAUUGGGCGUAAAGCGCGCGUAGGCGGCCACUUAAGUCGGAUGUGAAAGCCCCUGGCUCAACUGGGGAAGUGCACCCGAAACUGAAUGGCUUGAGUGCGAAAGAGGGUCGCGGAAUUCCCGGUGUAGAGGUGAAAUUCGUAGAUAUCGGGAGGAACACCGGUGGCGAAGGCGGCCAACUGGACGAACACUGACGCUGAGACUCGAAAGCGUGGGGAGCAAACGGG
This 253-nucleotide ribosomal RNA is filed under the name uncultured bacterium. RNAcentral describes it as "partial 16S ribosomal RNA". It matches the Rfam family "Bacterial small subunit ribosomal RNA", at positions 524 to 776 of the family's 1533-position model. The record is from RNAcentral.